This 490-nucleotide ribosomal RNA is filed under the name uncultured bacterium. RNAcentral's name for it is "bacterial SSU rRNA". It matches the Rfam family "Bacterial small subunit ribosomal RNA", at positions 28 to 515 of the family's 1533-position model. The record is from RNAcentral.
GACUAACGCUGGCGGCGUGCUUAACACAUGCAAGUCUAACGAGAAAGCGGUAGCAAUAUCGUGAGUAAAGUGGCGAACGGGUGAGUAACACGUAACCAAUCUGCCUUGAAGAGGAGGAAAACUGAGGGAAACUUUAGCUAAUCCUCCAUAAUGUGGUGCCUAUCGCAUGAGAACAUCAUUAAAGAUUUACUCGCUUCGGGAAGAGGUUGCGUCUGAUUAGCUAGUUGGCGGGGUAAAGGCCCACCAAGGCGACGAUCAGUAGCUGGUCUGAGAGGAUGAUCAGCCACACUGGGACUGAGAUACGGCCCAGACUCCUACGGGAGGCAGCAGUGAGGAAUAUUGCGCAAUGGGCGAAAGCCUGACGCAGCAACGCCGCGUGUAGGAUGAAGUCUUUCGGGACGUAAACUACUGUUAGAGGGGAAGAAACUCCGGUUACGCCGGGGUGGACGGUACCCUCAGAGAAAGCCACGGCUAACUCUGUGCCAGCAGC